CAAUAGCGUAUAUUAAAGUUGUUGCAGUUAAAAAGCUCGUAGUUGGAUUUGUGGCGUACGGUGUGUUCCGGGCACUUGUUGUCUGAGUAACCUGCUGUUGCCAUCCUUGGGUGGAACCUGUGUGGCAUUAGGUUGUCGUGCAGGGGAUGCCCAUCAUUUACUGUGAAAAAAUUAGAGUGUUCAAAGCAGGCUUAUGCCGUUGAAUAUAUUAGCAUGGAAUAAUGAGAUAGGACUUUUUUGCUAUUUUGUUGGUUUGCGCAAGAAGGUAAUGAUUAAUAGGGACAGUUGGGGGUAUUCGUAUUCCAUUGUCAGAGGUGAAAUUCUUGGAUUGUUGGAAGACGAACUACUGCGAAAGCAUUUACCAAGGAUGUUUUCAUUAA
Molecule: ribosomal RNA, 380 nt
Filed under: uncultured eukaryote
Lineage: Eukaryota
Description: partial 18S ribosomal RNA
Rfam family: Eukaryotic small subunit ribosomal RNA
Source: RNAcentral